UUAAAAAAUAACCAUGAAAAUGUCUUGGACUUAGUUUUUUCCCCAUUCAUUUGGAACACAUUAUUUCCUUUGCAAAAGGACUAUCUCCAAACUAAUUGUUCACUUAUAUUUCACUUAUAGAAACGAGCAAAAAAUGUCUUAAUUCCAGUUCACUUAUACCACUGAUAAACCACUUAUAGGUGAAAUAUAUGUGAAGUAUCAGUGAAGUAUCAGUUAACCAUUUUUUUCACUUAUACUUAUACACACUGAUACUUCACUUAUACCAAUAUAUAGGUAACUUAUAAGUGGUGUAUAAGUAAAGUAUAUUCCACUUAUAAGUUUGUAUAGGUUAUUUCCGUAAGGGAUUGCAGCUGCCUAUGCCUGCAAGAACGGUUUUGCACCCACGAUCUCUUUGUAAUUAUGACACUAUUUGUAAUUGCCCGUCAGCUGAUAAUUCACAAAUAACUACCCAGUAAUUUCCCCAGAUCAGAUUUUCGUAAACAUUUUCUUUUUUCAUGUAGAGGUAUCAGAGAACCAAAAUCCAUUGAGACACCUUUUCUAACAAUUAUCUUGAACCUUCAUGAAAAAACCCCUUUAAUGACUGGACCAACAGGCUGUAGAAGGAGAUGAACUAUGGUUAGAGAUAUGGGAAUAUAUGAGAGGUUAAUUAUAUGAGAGGUUAAUAUGUGCAUUGUAUGUGGUGUAGAGAUGUCAUAUUGGGGAACUCUGGCUGUACACGUAGUUGGAGAUGUGGGAAUGUAUGAGAGGUUAAUAUGUGCAUUGUAUGUGGUGUAGAGAUGUAAUAUCGGGGAACACAGGUGGUAUACAUGUAGUUGGAGAUGUGGUAAUGUAUGAGAGGUUAAUAUGUGCAAUGUAUGUGCUGUAGAGAUGUAAUAUUGGGGAACACAGGCUGUACACGUAGUUGGAGAUGUGGGAAUGUAUGAGAGGUUAAUAUGUGCAUUGUAUGUGGUGUAGAGAUGUAAUAUCGGGGAACACAGGUGGUAUACAUGUAGUUGGAGAUGUGGGAAUGUAUGAGAGGUUAAUAUGUGCAUUGUAUGUGCUGUAGAGAUGUAAUAUUGGGGAACACAGGCUGUACACAUAGAGAUGUGGGAAUAUGUGCGAGGUUAAUGAGUAUGUGGUGUUGAGAUACAUGUGGUCAGGUUGCAUUGUAAACAUUACUACUCAAAGCAUGUUAAAGGUCAAAUUAUUUUUUAAACAAUUUAAAUUUGAUGUAUUGAUAUUGGCACCACAAGUGUGAGAUGAGAUCUAAUGGACAUUGUAUUGAUAUCAGAAUCGCAAGUGUGAGAUAACAAGAUUUAAUGUAUUGAUAUCAGAAUCGCAAGUGUGAGAUGACAAGAUUUAAUUUAUUGAUAUCAGAAUCAUAAGUGUGAGCUGGUGUUUAAGCCGAUUCUAAUGUUAAUGAUAAAUCUGUAUCACAAGUUUGUUUCACAUACAAAUGCACUAAGUGACUUGACAGUCACUCCAAAUGGUCAGCACGAGCGGAACGUGACCUGACCUUCGAAGUCCAAACAUUAACAUACACGUACACUUGAGGCAGGUUCAGCUCCUACAGGUCAUCACCAAUUUCACUAUAAAUUUGACAGUAUAUAUUUUCCUGUUCUCAAUGGAGGAGCUGGCCGACGCUGGCACUUGUACCCAGGACAGGUGUGCGCUACAACAGCUUGCUCUGAAUGUGCACGUUAAAACGCCCUAACCUAACCUGACAGUAUAAGACAGUUCUGUUGAGUGUUCACAAGCGAGGGUGGUCAUACUCGCUAUUAACCAAAACCUGGGGCAAGUUCAGCCAGCCAUUUAGCAGUAAAGUCGGCUAGACUAGUUUUUACUCCACACAUUAAAACAAAUAAUCAUUUUGGGAACUAGUCAAAAUAAGCUUGUAAAGAUUUGCAUCGCUGUUACUGAUCACGGGACAGGUGUGUUACCCGUUAGCAUCGCUUACUGGGGACAGGUGUGUUACCCGUUAGCAUCGCUUACUGGGGACAGGUGUAUUACUGAACAGGUGUGUUACCCGAUCACUUACUGUCACUGAUCACUGGACAGGUGUGUGUUACCAAUUAGCAUCCCUUACUGUCACUGAUCACAGGACAGGUGUGUGUUGCCCGUUAGCAUCGCUUACUGUCACUGAUCACGGGACAGGUGUGUGUUGCCCGAUCACUUCACAUGUUCUGUGAUGCACUUCACAUGUUCUGUGAUGCGGCAACUUGACAGAUUUUGGUUGAUUAUAUUUUUGUCAAGACAUUGGACCCUCAACUAGUUUUGAGUAUAAUAUAUGCAUAUUGAUUUAUGUACAUAUCAUCAUAGUAAUAAUAAUAAACUAGAGGACAAAGUGUU
Molecule: long non-coding RNA, 2328 nt
Organism: Gigantopelta aegis
Lineage: Eukaryota; Metazoa; Mollusca; Gastropoda; Neomphalida; Peltospiridae
Exons: 2
Source: RefSeq, a predicted model, not a curated record